RNAcentral lists this ribosomal RNA (484 nucleotides) under uncultured bacterium. Its description in RNAcentral is "partial 16S ribosomal RNA". It matches the Rfam family "Bacterial small subunit ribosomal RNA", at positions 29 to 507 of the family's 1533-position model. The record is from RNAcentral.
AUUGAACGCUGGCGGCAUGCUUUACACAUGCAAGUCGAACGGCAGCGCGGGCUUCGGCCUGGCGGCGAGUGGCGAACGGGUGAGUAAUACAUCGGAACGUGCCCAGUAGUGGGGGAUAGCUCGGCGAAAGCCGGAUUAAUACCGCAUACGACCUGAGGUCGAAAGCGGGGGAUCUUCGGACCUCGCGCUAUUGGAGCGGCCGAUGGCAGAUUAGCUAGUUGGUGGGGUAAAGGCCUACCAAGGCGACGAUCUGUAGCUGGUCUGAGAGGACGACCAGCCACACUGGGACUGAGACACGGCCGAGACUCCUACGGGAGGCAGCAGUGGGGAAUUUUGGACAAUGGGCGAAAGCCUGAUCCAGCAAUGCCGCGUGUGUGAUGAAGGCCUUCGGGUUGUAAAGCACUUUUGGCGGGAACGAAAAGGACUGUGCCAAUACCACGGUUCGAUGACGGUACCCGCAGAAUAAGCACCGGCUAACUACGUG